UUUGACGUCUUGACCUCAAAUCAG
RNAcentral lists this ribosomal RNA (24 nucleotides) under Tylopilus griseipurpureus. RNAcentral describes it as "partial 28S ribosomal RNA". Lineage: Eukaryota; Fungi; Basidiomycota; Agaricomycetes; Boletales; Boletaceae. The record is from RNAcentral.